RNAcentral lists this ribosomal RNA (254 nucleotides) under uncultured bacterium. RNAcentral describes it as "partial 16S ribosomal RNA". It matches the Rfam family "Bacterial small subunit ribosomal RNA", at positions 524 to 776 of the family's 1533-position model. The record is from RNAcentral.
UACGUAGAUGGCGAGCGUUAUCCGGAUUUACUGGGCGUAAAGGGUCGCGCAGGUGGAAAGCCGCGUCAUACUUGAAAGGUUUCGGCUCAACUGAAACUGGUGGUGUGAUACGGGUUUUCUAGAGUAGUGCAGGGGCAAGCGGAACUUCCGGUGGAGCAGUGAAAUGCGUUGAUAUCGGAAGGAACACCAAAGGCGAAGGCAGCUUGCUGGGCACUUUCUGACACUUAGGCACGAAAGCGUGGGGAGCGAAACGG